UGUCACAAUGUGUGUCUAGGCAGCUU
RNAcentral lists this non-coding RNA (26 nucleotides) under Mus musculus (house mouse). Lineage: Eukaryota; Metazoa; Chordata; Mammalia; Rodentia; Muridae. The record is from RNAcentral.